CCUACGGGAGGCAGCAGUGGGGAAUAUUGCACAAUGGGCGCAAGCCUGAUGCAGCCAUGCCGCGUGUGUGAAGAAGGCCUUCGGGUUGUAAAGCACUUUCAGCGGGGAGGAAGGCGGUAAGGUUAAUAACCUUGCCGAUUGACGUUACCCGCAGAAGAAGCACCGGCUAACUCCGUGCCAGCAGCCGCGGUAAUACGGAGGGUGCAAGCGUUAAUCGGAAUUACUGGGCGUAAAGCGCGCGCAGGCGGUCUGUCAAGUCGGAUGUGAAAUCCCCGGGCUCAACCUGGGAACUGCAUUCGAAACUGGCAGGCUAGAGUCUUGUAGAGGGGGGUAGAAUUCCAGGUGUAGCGGUGAAAUGCGUAGAGAUCUGGAGGAAUACCGGUGGCGAAGGCGGCCCCCUGAACAAAGACUGACGCUCAGGUGCGAAAGCGUGGGGAGCAAACAGGAUUAGAUACCCUAGUAGUC
RNAcentral lists this ribosomal RNA (465 nucleotides) under uncultured Klebsiella sp. Its description in RNAcentral is "bacterial SSU rRNA". It matches the Rfam family "Bacterial small subunit ribosomal RNA", at positions 338 to 795 of the family's 1533-position model. Lineage: Bacteria; Pseudomonadati; Pseudomonadota; Gammaproteobacteria; Enterobacterales; Enterobacteriaceae. The record is from RNAcentral.